Molecule: ribosomal RNA, 298 nt
Filed under: uncultured Alphaproteobacteria bacterium
Lineage: Bacteria; Pseudomonadati; Pseudomonadota; Alphaproteobacteria
Description: partial 16S ribosomal RNA
Rfam family: Bacterial small subunit ribosomal RNA
Source: RNAcentral
UGGCUCAGAACGAACGCUGGCGGCAGGCCUAACACAUGCAAGUCGAGCGCCCCGCAAGGGGAGCGGCAGACGGGAGAGUAACACGUGGGAACGUGCCCUUUGGUUCGGAACAACACAGGGAAACUUGUGCUAAUACCGGAUAAGCCCUUACGGGGAAAGAUUUAUCGCCAAAGGAUCGGCCCGCGUCUGAUUAGCUAGUUGGGAGGUAAUUCUCACCAAGGCGACGGUCAGAGCUGGUCUGAGAGGAUGAUCAGCCUCACUGGGACUUAAUCCGGCCCAGAGGAUACGGGANGCAGCA